AGGGAUGUAGCUCAAUGAUAGAGCAUUCGCUUAGCAUGCAAAAGGCCCUGGGUUCGAUCCCCGGCAUCUCCA
This is a non-coding RNA of Octopus sinensis (East Asian common octopus), 72 nucleotides long. Lineage: Eukaryota; Metazoa; Mollusca; Cephalopoda; Octopoda; Octopodidae. The record is from the annotation of a RefSeq genome assembly.